CUAACAAGGAUUCCCCUAGUAACGGCGAGUGAAGCGGGAUGAGCUCAAAUUUGUAAUCUGGCGGCCUGUGGUCGUCCGAGUUGUAGUCUGGAGAAGCGUCUUCCGCGUCGGACCGUGUACAAGUCCCUUGGAACAGGGCGUCGUAGAGGGUGAGAAUCCCGUCUUUGACACGGACUGCCGAUGCUAUGUGAUGCGCUCUCGAAGAGUCGAGUUGUUUGGGAAUGCAGCUCAAAACGGGUGGUAAAUUCCAUCUAAAGCUAAAUAUGGGCGAAAGACCGAUAGCGAACAAGUACCGUGAGGGAAAGAUGAAAAGCACUUUGAAAAGAGAGUCAAACAGUACGUGAAAUUGUUGAAAGGGAAACGCUUGAAGUCAGUCGCGUCUCUUGGGACUCAGCCUUGCUUUGUUGCUUGGUGUAUUUCCUGAGGYGACGGGCCAGCAUCGAUUUUGACCGUCGGAGAAAGGCCUUGGGAAUGUGGCACCCUCGGGUGUGUUAUAGCCCUCGGUCGCAUGCGACGGUUGGGAUCGAGGAUCGCAGCACGCCUUCAUUGGCCGGGGUUCGCCCACGUAACGUGCUUAGGAUGCUGGCGUAAUGGCUUUAAGCGACCCGUCUU
RNAcentral lists this ribosomal RNA (612 nucleotides) under Ramaria rubrievanescens. Its description in RNAcentral is "eukaryotic LSU rRNA". It matches the Rfam family "Eukaryotic large subunit ribosomal RNA", at positions 65 to 655 of the family's 3401-position model. Lineage: Eukaryota; Fungi; Basidiomycota; Agaricomycetes; Gomphales; Gomphaceae. The record is from RNAcentral.